GCCAGUUACCAGUAUCAGCUGGCUAACCGAUUCUGAUAGUGACUGACAACAAUGGACCUAAUAAACGUAUAUUAAAUCAUCAUUACCACGUCCAGGACUUUGCAAAUUUGACUCAUUAAUCGUCUGCAUAACGGUAUGGCUGUGACGUCACGGGAAUGGAAUCCGUGACCGAGUGGUUGAACAGCUUAAUCAGCAACGAAGACGUUCUUCCAGAGAGAUGUUCCAGAUAUCUUCCAGAAAGUAGAGAUUCUGGAAUGAUGAUUUCCUUCUCAAGUCUUCGAAAUAUGGGAAUAUGACUCGCAAAUUUUAUUGGCAAAAUGAUGGCAUGGCAACAUGAAGUCCACCACUUCGCCAUACUUUAGUACCAUCGAGGGAGGAACACUUGAACUUCUUUCCGACUGGCCUGAAGUUUUAGAAGUUGAAGUUCUUUAUCAGAGAUCAGGAGGACAGACACUUUUUCCUCAUUUCAAAAUUUGGAUGAAGCAGGAGGGAUCAUAACUUCUUGAUGUAAUAAUUUCUUAAGGUAAAUCAGUAUCAAAGGCUUAACUAAUAAUGAUUUUUGUCCUUUUAAUAUUAUGCCUUUUUCUUUUGUAAUUGUCUCAUAUAAAGUCUGUUCU
Long non-coding RNA from Macrobrachium nipponense, 617 nucleotides. RefSeq lists it as uncharacterized. NCBI's taxonomy places the organism in Eukaryota, Metazoa, Arthropoda, Malacostraca, Decapoda, Palaemonidae. The record is from RefSeq and is a predicted model, not a curated record. The transcript has 3 exons.